RNAcentral lists this long non-coding RNA (394 nucleotides) under Nicotiana benthamiana. RNAcentral's name for it is "long non-coding RNA (NBEN_LNC038453)". Lineage: Eukaryota; Viridiplantae; Streptophyta; Magnoliopsida; Solanales; Solanaceae. The record is from RNAcentral.
CUAAUGCCGAUAUUAAACCAAUUCUUGUUUUAAAAAACCGACUGUUUCGUUCUGAUCACUUUGGGUGUCAUUUUUGAUGUGCACAUUCUCUGUAAGUACAUUGCUUCACCUAUGAAGCUAUAGGCCCUCAGUUUGUCCCUGAUCACUUUGGGUGUCAUUUCCGAUGUGCACAUUCUCUGAAGUACAUUGCUUCACCUAUGAUGAAGUGGUCACUUUUAAUAACACUGCGUAGGCUGCACCUGUUGUAAUGACUAGCAAUUGUCAUUUUUUGAUGUGCUUUAUUCCUUGCGCUAUCCAAUAUGAAUAGGUGCGUUGCUGACCUUUUUGAAACACAAGGAUUUUACAGAGUAAUAAAUGGCUAAAUGCUUACAAGGAACUGAGCAUAUGAUCUUGU